Molecule: ribosomal RNA, 369 nt
Filed under: uncultured bacterium
Lineage: Bacteria
Description: bacterial SSU rRNA
Rfam family: Bacterial small subunit ribosomal RNA
Source: RNAcentral
GACGAACGCUGGCGGCGUGCUUCAUACAUGCAAGUCGAGCGGAAAGGCCCUUCGGGGUACUCGAGCGGCGAACGGGUGAGUAACACGUGAGCAAUCUGCCUUCAGCUCCGGGAUAACUCGUGGAAACAGGUGCUAAUACCGGAUACGACCUCGAAGGACAUCCUUUGAGGUGGAAAGUUUUUCGGCUGAAGAUGAGCUCGCGGCCUAUCAGCUUGUUGGCGGGGUAACGGCCCACCAAGGCGACGACGGGUAGCCGGCCUGAGAGGGCGACCGCCACACUGGGACGUGAGACACGGCCCACGACUCCUACGGGAGGGCUGCAGUCGCGAAUCAUUCACAAUGGGCGGCAAGCCUGAUGAUGCCACGCCG